ACCCCCGUGAGAAUGCCCCACAGUUCCCCUUUCUGGAACAAGGAGCUGGCAUCAGGCACACUUUUUGUAGCCCACGACGCCUUGCUUAGCCACACCCCCAAGGGACCUCAGCAGUGACAGAUAUUAAGCAAUAAGUGAAAACUUGACUUAGUUACAGCUAAAAGGGCCGGUAAAACUCGUGCCAGCCACCGCGGUUAUACGAGAGGCCCAAGUUGAUAAAUUUUCGGCGUAAAGCGUGGUUAGAUGCUUCACCCACUAAAGCCAAAUGCUCUCACCGCUGUUAUACGCUUUCGAGAGUAAGAAGCCCCACUACGAAAGUAGCUUUAUUUAUAUUGACCCCACGAAAGCUGUGGAACAAACUGGGAUUAGAUACCCCACUAUGCACAGCCAUAAACUUUGGCAGUUUACUUCACUUUCUGCCCGCCAGGGAACUACAAGCACUAGCUUGAAACCCAAAGGACUUGGCGGUGCUUAAGACCCCCCUAGAGGAGCCUGUUCUAGAACCGAUAACCCCCGUUAAACCUCACCCUUUCUUGUUAAUACCGCCUAUAUACCGCCGUCGUCAGCUUACCCUGUGAAGGACCCAUAGUAAGCUAAACUAGCAAAGCCCAAAACGUCAGGUCGAGGUGUAGCGAAUGAAAGGGGAAGAAAUGGGCUACAUUCCCUGAUACAGGGAACACGAAAGGUGUGUUGAAACACACACCAGAAGGAGGAUUUAGCAGUAAGCAGAAAAUAGAGCGUUCCGCUGAAACCGGCCCUAAAGCGCGCACACACCGCCCGUCACUCUCCCCAAGCUAGUACACAACACUAUCUAAUACAAGAAAUAAGCAAAGGGGAGGCAAGUCGUAACAUGGUAAGUGUACCGGAAGGUGCACUUGGAAAAAC
Molecule: non-coding RNA, 885 nt
Filed under: Paraclinus marmoratus (marbled blenny)
Lineage: Eukaryota; Metazoa; Chordata; Actinopteri; Blenniiformes; Labrisomidae
Description: partial 12S rRNA
Rfam family: Bacterial small subunit ribosomal RNA
Source: RNAcentral